AAAUUGAAGAGUUUGAUCAUGGCUCAGAUUGAACGCUGGCGGCAGGCCUAACACAUGCAAGUCGAGCGGUAGCACAGAGAGCUUGCUCUCGGGUGACGAGCGGCGGACGGGUGAGUAAUGUCUGGGAAACUGCCUGAUGGAGGGGGAUAACUACUGGAAACGGUAGCUAAUACCGCAUAACGUCGCAAGACCAAAGUGGGGGACCUUCGGGCCUCAUGCCAUCAGAUGUGCCCAGAUGGGAUUAGCUAGUAGGUGGGGUAACGGCUCACCUAGGCGACGAUCCCUAGCUGGUCUGAGAGGAUGACCAGCCACACUGGAACUGAGACACGGUCCAGACUCCUACGGGAGGCAGCAGUGGGGAAUAUUGCACAAUGGGCGCAAGCCUGAUGCAGCCAUGCCGCGUGUGUGAAGAAGGCCUUCGGGUUGUAAAGCACUUUCAGCGGGGAGGAAGGCGUUAAGGUUAAUAACCUUGUCGAUUGACGUUACCCGCAGAAGAAGCACCGGCUAACUCCGUGCCAGCAGCCGCGGUAAUACGGAGGGUGCAAGCGUUAAUCGGAAUUACUGGGCGUAAAGCGCACGCAGGCGGUCUGUCAAGUCGGAUGUGAAAUCCCCGGGCUCAACCUGGGAACUGCAUUCGAAACUGGCAGGCUAGAGUCUUGUAGAGGGGGGUAGAAUUCCAGGUGUAGCGGUGAAAUGCGUAGAGAUCUGGAGGAAUACCGGUGGCGAAGGCGGCCCCCUGGACAAAGACUGACGCUCAGGUGCGAAAGCGUGGGGAGCAAACAGGAUUAGAUACCCUGGUAGUCCACGCCGUAAACGAUGUCGAUUUGGAGGUUGUGCCCUUGAGGCGUGGCUUCCGGAGCUAACGCGUUAAAUCGACCGCCUGGGGAGUACGGCCGCAAGGUUAAAACUCAAAUGAAUUGACGGGGGCCCGCACAAGCGGUGGAGCAUGUGGUUUAAUUCGAUGCAACGCGAAGAACCUUACCUGGUCUUGACAUCCACAGAACUUUCCAGAGAUGGAUUGGUGCCUUCGGGAACUGUGAGACAGGUGCUGCAUGGCUGUCGUCAGCUCGUGUUGUGAAAUGUUGGGUUAAGUCCCGCAACGAGCGCAACCCUUAUCCUUUGUUGCCAGCGGUUCGGCCGGGAACUCAAAGGAGACUGCCAGUGAUAAACUGGAGGAAGGUGGGGAUGACGUCAAGUCAUCAUGGCCCUUACGACCAGGGCUACACACGUGCUACAAUGGCAUAUACAAAGAGAAGCGACCUCGCGAGAGCAAGCGGACCUCAUAAAGUAUGUCGUAGUCCGGAUUGGAGUCUGCAACUCGACUCCAUGAAGUCGGAAUCGCUAGUAAUCGUAGAUCAGAAUGCUACGGUGAAUACGUUCCCGGGCCUUGUACACACCGCCCGUCACACCAUGGGAGUGGGUUGCAAAAGAAGUAGGUAGCUUAACCUUCGGGAGGGCGCUUACCACUUUGUGAUUCAUGACUGGGGUGAAGUCGUAACAAGGUAACCGUAGGGGAACCUGCGGUUGGAUCACCUCCUUACCUUAAAGAA
Molecule: ribosomal RNA, 1550 nt
Filed under: Klebsiella pneumoniae
Lineage: Bacteria; Pseudomonadati; Pseudomonadota; Gammaproteobacteria; Enterobacterales; Enterobacteriaceae
Description: bacterial SSU rRNA
Rfam family: Bacterial small subunit ribosomal RNA
Source: RNAcentral